AAAUUGAAGAGUUUGAUCAUGGCUCAGAUUGAACGCUGGCGGCAGGCCUAACACAUGCAAGUCGAACGGUAACAGGAAGCAGCUUGCUGCUUUGCUGACGAGUGGCGGACGGGUGAGUAAUGUCUGGGAAACUGCCUGAUGGAGGGGGAUAACUACUGGAAACGGUGGCUAAUACCGCAUAACGUCGCAAGACCAAAGAGGGGGACCUUCGGGCCUCUUGCCAUCAGAUGUGCCCAGAUGGGAUUAGCUAGUUGGUGAGGUAACGGCUCACCAAGGCGACGAUCC
Molecule: ribosomal RNA, 285 nt
Filed under: Salmonella enterica
Lineage: Bacteria; Pseudomonadati; Pseudomonadota; Gammaproteobacteria; Enterobacterales; Enterobacteriaceae
Also listed under: 1 other name
Description: partial 16S ribosomal RNA
Rfam family: Bacterial small subunit ribosomal RNA
Source: RNAcentral